RNAcentral lists this ribosomal RNA (397 nucleotides) under uncultured Vibrio sp. Its description in RNAcentral is "bacterial SSU rRNA". It matches the Rfam family "Bacterial small subunit ribosomal RNA", at positions 115 to 507 of the family's 1533-position model. The record is from RNAcentral. Lineage: Bacteria; Pseudomonadati; Pseudomonadota; Gammaproteobacteria; Vibrionales; Vibrionaceae.
GCCUGGGAAAUUGCCCUGAUGUGGGGGAUAACCAUUGGGAAACGAUGGCUAAUACCGCAUAAUAGCUUCGGCUCAAAGAGGGGGACCUUCGGGCCUCUCGCGUCAGGAUAUGCCCAGGUGGGAUUAGCUAGUUGGUGAGGUAAAGGCUCACCAAGGCGACGAUCCCUAGCUGGUCUGAGAGGAUGAUCAGCCACACUGGAACUGAGACACGGUCCAGACUCCUACGGGAGGCAGCAGUGGGGAAUAUUGCACAAUGGGCGCAAGCCUGAUGCAGCCAUGCCGCGUGUAUGAAGAAGGCCUUCGGGUUGUAAAGUACUUUCAGUUGUGAGGAAGGUGGUGCCGUUAAUAGCGGUAUCAUUUGACGUUAGCAACAGAAGAAGCACCGGCUAACUCCGUG